Molecule: long non-coding RNA, 207 nt
Filed under: Athene cunicularia (burrowing owl)
Lineage: Eukaryota; Metazoa; Chordata; Aves; Strigiformes; Strigidae
Description: lncRNA (ENSACUG00000006851.1)
Source: RNAcentral
CGUGGCGUGGGUCUGAGUGCUGCAGCAGUCAGGAAAGGCUCUUGCUGCUGGAGUUGUGGGAUGAGCUCUGUGCUGUGCGUUUGGAUCCAGCCUUCGGAGGACCUCAGGAACAUUACAGGCAUCUGACCUCUUUUGUCAGCUGACAAACAGUGUGUAAAAACUUCCAGCUGCUGUGCUCAGCCUGAACUACAAUUAGCAUAGGGUAAU